CGUUGCAGCGCCGAACAGAGCAGCGCGGCGCUGCAAAAUUUUAAUUUCCCGUGAAGCAUUGGCACGCAGAAUGUCGCUGGUAAACCCGCCGCGCUGCUUGUUGACGGACAAGUGGGAAUUGGAAGAUUCGCGCGCAGGCAGCAAUUCGUUCCAACUUGUUUGUUUUUAUUUCUUAAAAGUCUGAAGUGAUUUAGUUUAAACUAUGGACGGAGAAAAAAUUAAUAAACUUAUCGUUCUUGUGGCUGAAUUUAGUGAGCUAUAUGACAUGACUCAUAAAAGUUAUAGUAGCCAACACAGGAGAGAAAUAAUUUGGACGGAAAUUGGUAACAAACUUAAUGAAAAGGCCGAUGCUUGUAAGCAGAGAUGGAAAACUUUAAGAGACGCUUUUCAGAGAGCAGCAAAAAACAACCAAACAAAAAGUGAAUAAGCUGCCAAAGGCAACAAGAAAUGGAAAUACUGGGAUGCCAUGGCUUUUCUUUAGCCUUAUAUUAAAGGAAGAGAGUAUGAAAAUUUUUUCAUAUGCUAUUAUUAUGAAUUUAUUAACCAGUGAUUUAUUUAUCUAAGAACUCAUUUAAAUGUUAGCCAAAUACAGCAAGAAGGUAUAAGUGAAGACGAUGAAAUGGAUACUCAAUUAGAAAAUAAUACACAAAGCCAAAGAGGAGACAGAUUGUGUGAAGAUUAUGAUGCCGAAAAUAAUUUAGAUAUUCCGUCUUCCAUUUCACAGUCAAAUACACCUUCUUGUUUUUCAAGCAUAGAGACUCCAUCAAGACCAUCAUCUCGUGUUACAAGUGUAAAAAGUGUCCAGCGUUUUAAGAAAUUAAAAGCUGCAGUCAAAAAUGAUGAGUCAAUACCGGAAAUAUUACAAGAAUAUAUUGAUGACAAAAAACGUAGUCGUUUAGAAAAGCAGACCAAAGAUCUUGUAAAACCAUCAGUAAAUGAAAAUAGCCCACUAAUAUAGAUUUUUUUUUAUUAAUAUGGGCAAAACAACGGCUACAUUUCCUCCACUACGGCAAGCUACCCUGAAAAAUAAAGUAUUUCAAAUAGUAAAUUCAUACGAAUUGCAAAAGUUAUCAAAUUCCUCCUCUUUGAUAACACAAACUUCUAGUGAAAGUCAAAUACUGGGUCACAAUCAUACACCAUCCUAAAUUCAUGAGACACUUCAGCCACCAAUGCAAAUACAGUCACCUAUGCAGAAUCCACCAUCUGUACAAACUCGACCGCCAAUGCAACAACACAUCUCUGUACAAGAUGAAUCGUCUACAUUCUUCGGGGAAACUUCUACAUACUAUUCACAAUUCGCAACUCAAUUACCUCACUCAUAGACACCUCACUAAUCUUGCCCAUUUUUUUGUGAAGAGAUAUUUUUUUUUGGUUUAUUUUUUCUAUGUGUUUUCUUAGGACUAUUUUGUUAACUAGUGUUUAUUUUUACAAUCAAAUUAUCAAACAUAAAAUCAGUUUAUUUUGUUGCGUUAAAUUAAAAAUUAUUUUUUCAUAUCACUUAAAAAUAAAUGUUUAGACUAAUUAAA
Anthonomus grandis grandis is the source of this 1526-nucleotide long non-coding RNA. RefSeq lists it as uncharacterized. The record is from RefSeq and is a predicted model, not a curated record. The transcript has 2 exons. NCBI's taxonomy places the organism in Eukaryota, Metazoa, Arthropoda, Insecta, Coleoptera, Curculionidae.